Molecule: transfer RNA, 81 nt
Filed under: Planctomycetaceae bacterium
Lineage: Bacteria; Pseudomonadati; Planctomycetota; Planctomycetia; Planctomycetales; Planctomycetaceae
Also listed under: 1 other name
Description: tRNA-Tyr
Rfam family: tRNA
About the family: Transfer RNA (tRNA) molecules are approximately 80 nucleotides in length. Their secondary structure includes four short double-helical elements and three loops (D, anti-codon, and T loops).
Source: RNAcentral
GGGAGGUUGCCCGAGUGGUUAAAGGGGGCGGACUGUAAAUCCGCUGCUUCGGCUACAUAGGUUCGAAUCCUAUACCUCCCA